GGGGGAUAACACCUGGAAACAGAUGCUAAUACCGCAUAACAACUUGGACCGCAUGGUCCGAGCUUGAAACCUGGCUUCGGCUAUCACUUUUGGAUGGUCCCGCGGCGUAUUAGCUAGAUGGUGGGGUAACGGCUCACCAUGGCAAUGAUACGUAGCCGACCUGAGAGGGUAAUCGGCCACAUUGGGACUGAGACACGGCCCAGACUCCUACGGGAGGCAGCAGUAGGGAAUCUUCCACAAUGGACGAAAGUCUGAUGGAGCAACGCCGCGUGAGUGAAGAAGGGUUUCGGCUCGUAAAACUCUGUUGUUAAAGAAGAACAUAUCUGAGAGUAACUGUUCAGGUAUUGACGGUAUUUAACCAGAAAGCCACGGCUAACUACGUGCCAGCAGCCGCGGUAAUACGUAGGUGGCAAGCGUUGUCCGGAUUUAUUGGGCGUAAAGCGAGCGCAGGCGGUUUUUUAAGUCUGAUGUGAAAGCCUUCGGCUCAACCGAAGAAGUGCAUCGGAAACUGGGAAACUUGAGUGCAGAAGAGGACAGUGGAACUCCAUGUGUAGCGGUGAAAUGCGUAGAUAUAUGGAAGAACACCAGUGGCGAAGGCGGCUGUCUGGUCUGUAACUGACGCUGAGGCUCGAAAGUAUGGGUAGCAAACAGGAUUAGAUACCCUGGUAGUCCAUACCGUAAACGAUGAAUGCUAAGUGUUGGAGGGUUUCCGCCCUUC
RNAcentral lists this ribosomal RNA (718 nucleotides) under uncultured bacterium. RNAcentral's name for it is "bacterial SSU rRNA". It matches the Rfam family "Bacterial small subunit ribosomal RNA", at positions 138 to 841 of the family's 1533-position model. The record is from RNAcentral.